AGAGUUCGAUUCUGGCUCAGGAUGAACGCUGGCGGCGUGCUUAACACAUGCAAGUCGAACGAAGCACUUUUACAGAUUUCUUCGGAAUGAAGUUUUAGUGACUGAGUGGCGGACGGGUGAGUAACGCGUGGGUAACCUGCCUCACACAGGGGGAUAACAGUUGGAAACGGCUGCUAAUACCGCAUAAGCGCACAGUACCGCAUGGUACAGUGUGAAAAACUCCGGUGGUGUGAGAUGGACCCGCGUCUGAUUAGCUAGUUGGCAGGGUAACGGCCUACCAAGGCGACGAUCAGUAGCCGACCUGAGAGGGUGACCGGCCACAUUGGGACUGAGACACGGCCCAA
This 344-nucleotide ribosomal RNA is filed under the name uncultured bacterium. RNAcentral's name for it is "bacterial SSU rRNA". It matches the Rfam family "Bacterial small subunit ribosomal RNA", at positions 8 to 334 of the family's 1533-position model. The record is from RNAcentral.